AGCUCCAAUAGCGUAUAUUAAUGUUGCUGCAGUUAAAAAGCUCGUAGUUGGAUUUCUGACCUGGAGUGCCUGGCCCGUGGUCUAACGAUCAUGAGCGCCGGAUGCGCUUCGGUCAUCCGUCUAGUUACCGUGACUGCCCUUUAUUGGGUUGGUCAUUGGUGCCUAGGCCAUUUACUUUGAAGAAAAUAGAGUGUUCAAAGCAGGCGUUUGCUAUGAAUACUUCAGCAUGGAAUAAUAAGAUAGGACUUUGGUUCUAUUUUGUUGGUUUCUAGAACUAAAGUAAUGAUUGAUAGGGACGGUUGGGGGUGCUAGUAUUUAACGGCCAGAGGUGAAAUUCUUGGAUUCGUUAAAGACUAACUUAGGCGAAAGCAUUCACCAAGGACGUUCUCUUUAAUCAAGA
Molecule: ribosomal RNA, 400 nt
Filed under: phytoplankton environmental sample
Lineage: Eukaryota
Description: partial small subunit ribosomal RNA
Rfam family: Eukaryotic small subunit ribosomal RNA
Source: RNAcentral